AGGAAUAUUGGUCAAUGGACGAGAGUCUGAACCAGCCAAGUAGCGUGAAGGAUGACUGCCCUAUGGGUUGUAAACUUCUUUUAUACGGGAAUAAAGUGAGGCACGUGUGCCUUUUUGUAUGUACCGUAUGAAUAAGGAUCGGCUAACUCCGUGCCAGCAGCCGCGGUAAUACGGAGGAUCCGAGCGUUAUCCGGAUUUAUUGGGUUUAAAGGGAGCGUAGGCGGACGCUUAAGUCAGUUGUGAAAGUUUGCGGCUCAACCGUAAAAUUGCAGUUGAUACUGGGUGUCUUGAGUACAGUAGAGGCAGGCGGAAUUCGUGGUGUAGCGGUGAAAUGCUUAGAUAUCACGAAGAACUCCGAUUGCGAAGGCAGCUUGCUGGACUGUAACUGACGCUGAUGCUCGAAAGUGUGGGUAUCAAACAGGAUUAGAUACCCUGGUAGUCCACACAGUAAACGAUGAAUACUCGCUGUUUGCGAUAUACAGUAAGCGGCCAAGCGAAAGCGUUAAGUAUUCCACCUGGGGAGUACGCCGGCAACGGUGAAACUCAAAGGAAUUGACGGGGGCCCGCACAAGCGGAGGAACAUGUGGUUUAAUUCGAUGAUACGCGAGGAACCUUACCCGGGCUUGAAUUGCAACUGAAUGAUGUGGAGACAUGUCAGCCGCAAGGCAGUUGUGAAGGUGCUGCAUGGUUGUCGUCAGCUCGUGCCGUGAGGUGUCGGCUUAAGUGCCAUAACGAGCGCAACCCUUAUCGAUAGUUACCAUCAGGUUAUGCCGGGGACUCUGUCGAGACUGCCGUCGUAAGAUGUGAGGAAGGUGGGGAUGACGUCAAAUCAGCACGGCCCUUACGUCCGGGGCUACACACGUGUUACAAUGGGGGGUACAGAAGGCAGCUACACGGCGACGUGAUGCUAAUCCCGAAAGCCUCUCUCAGUUCGGAUUGGAGUCUGCAACCCGACUCCAUGAAGCUGGAUUCGCUAGUAAUCGCGCAUCAGCCACGGCGCGGUGAAUACGUUCCCG
This 1016-nucleotide ribosomal RNA is filed under the name uncultured bacterium. RNAcentral's name for it is "bacterial SSU rRNA". It matches the Rfam family "Bacterial small subunit ribosomal RNA", at positions 357 to 1376 of the family's 1533-position model. The record is from RNAcentral.